UUCGGGGUGAUUUGUUGGACGCUAGCGGCGGAUGGGUGAGUAACACGUGGGCAAUCUGCCCUAAAGACUGGGAUACCACUUGGAAACAGGUGCUAAUACCGGAUAACAACAUGAAUCGCAUGAUUCAAGUUUGAAAGGCGGCGCAAGCUGUCACUUUAGGAUGAGCCCGCGGCGCAUUAGCUAGUUGGUGGGGUAAAGGCCUACCAAGGCAAUGAUGCGUAGCCGAGUUGAGAGACUGAUCGGCCACAUUGGGACUGAGACACGGCCCAAACUCCUACGGGAGGCAGCAGUAGGGAAUCUUCCACAAUGGACGCAAGUCUGAUGGAGCAACGCCGCGUGAGUGAAGAAGGUCUUCGGAUCGUAAAGCUCUGUUGUUGGUGAAGAAGGAUAGAGGCAGUAACUGGUCUUUAUUUGACGGUAAUCAACCAGAAAGUCACGGCUAACUACGUGCCAGCAGCCGCGGUAAUACGUAGGUGGCAAGCGUUGUCCGGAUUUAUUGGGCGUAAAGCGAGCGCAGGCGGAAUGAUAAGUCUGAUGUGAAAGCCCACGGCUCAACCGUGGAACUGCAUCGGAAACUGUCAUUCUUGAGUGCAGAAGAGGAGAGUGGAACUCCAUGUGUAGCGGUGGAAUGCGUAGAUAUAUGGAAGAACACCAGUGGCG
Molecule: ribosomal RNA, 660 nt
Filed under: Lactobacillus delbrueckii subsp. bulgaricus
Lineage: Bacteria; Bacillati; Bacillota; Bacilli; Lactobacillales; Lactobacillaceae
Description: bacterial SSU rRNA
Rfam family: Bacterial small subunit ribosomal RNA
Source: RNAcentral